This is a long non-coding RNA of Silurus meridionalis, 580 nucleotides long. RefSeq lists it as uncharacterized. Lineage: Eukaryota; Metazoa; Chordata; Actinopteri; Siluriformes; Siluridae. The record is from RefSeq and is a predicted model, not a curated record. The transcript has 4 exons.
AGAAUGAAGACUUGCUUUAUACAUACAAAUAAUAGGUUGUGCCCUGGUUGAUGCAGUAGCAUGCUCUACUUUAUAUUAAUGUUUUUGCUUUACAGGAAGCCUGAAGCAGAACCCUUUGCUGAAAACUGUCAGUAAGGAAGAGAUGGAGACAGCACUUGGUAAAUGGUUUACAAAUGCAAGCGACAGAGAAGGCAACCGUGCUUUGAGAGCGCAGCGGGACCAUGAUUGCAGGGCAGUACAGCCGGAAGUUGUCAAUAAUGUCCAAAAGAGGGCAGUGUUCUCAUUAUGAACGCUCAAAGAGAGUACAUUUCUUUUCGCGCACGAGACCUCAAUCAUUUCCGGUCUGCAUGCAAGGGAAGCGGGAAAGUCUGUUUUCACCGUGAGAGAUAGAGACUUGUACCAGUCUCGAACAUCAUCUCCAGCAACAAGAAGGAGGACAGCCAUAUCUCCUUGCUGUUUGCAGGAACCGCUACCAGACUGAGCACGUCUACAGAGCUCUUGAGAAGAAUCUCAUCCCCAUACCACAGCUUCUGCUCGGAUCUCAGCAUGCUUCACAGACAUAUUUAAUGGAUGAGUGCUC